CGGUGGUUAUGGCGGAGGGGAAACACCCGGUCCCAUUCCGAACCCGGUAGUUAAGCCCUCCAGCGCCGAUGGUACUGCAUGGGAGACUGUGUGGGAGAGUAGGUCACCGCCGGAACA
RNAcentral lists this ribosomal RNA (117 nucleotides) under Thermomonospora curvata DSM 43183. Lineage: Bacteria; Bacillati; Actinomycetota; Actinomycetes; Streptosporangiales; Thermomonosporaceae. The record is from RNAcentral.